This is a long non-coding RNA of Mus musculus (house mouse), 3153 nucleotides long. RefSeq annotates it as brown adipose tissue enriched long noncoding RNA 6. The transcript is spliced from 3 exons. The record is from RefSeq and is a predicted model, not a curated record. NCBI's taxonomy places the organism in Eukaryota, Metazoa, Chordata, Mammalia, Rodentia, Muridae.
AGUGAGCUCUAGGCUCCUCAAGGCUACAGAGCAAGAUCACAUCUCAAAAGACACAAAAAAUAAACCACAGUAAUCCUUUGCGUUUGCUGUCUUGCUUUAUAACUGCAUUGUCUGAUAUGAGCGUAUUUGUAACUGCAGGUAACAGAACACUGAAAAUUAGAGUCCUUGGAGAAAUAGCAGCCACCUAACUCAGUUAGCCAAUGAGAGCAUGUAACAAGGGUACCAAGUCAACUGGGGCAGGACUGGCCUUCACCUUCAACACCACUCAGUGUUCGUAUCUCUCACUGCGCAACGAGUUUUGUUUGGUUUUUCAUUUAAGAAAAGCAGACUUGAGGGACCUGGGGAAACAGCUCAGUAUGUAAAGUGCUUGCACGAUCCCCUGCACCCCCAUAAGAGCUAAGUGCAGUGCUGCGCCUGUGAUCCCAGGACUGGGGAUGAAGAGGCAGCGGGAUCAUUGGGGCUUGUUCCCAAGGUCUGUCAAAAAUGGAGCUCCAGAUUCACUGAGAGGCCCUCUCUCUAAAAAGUAAGGAGGAUGGAGCUGAAGGUUUUGAGCAUCAGCUGCUCAUCCAGAGGACCUGGGUCCAAGUCCCAGCAUCCAACAUGGAUGCUCACAACCAUCUGUAAUUCUAGUUCUUGGAGAUCCAAUGUCCUCUCCUGGCCUUCAGGGUCAUCAGGAAUGUAUGUGAUGCAAAGACACUCGAGCAUGCAAAACACCCAUAUAUAUAACAAUAAGUGUGUGUGUGUGUAUGUGUGUGUGUGUGUGUGUGUGUGUGUUUUAAUGAGGAAAGUAGUUGAAGAAGAUGCUCAGUGUCACUCUCAGCUCCCCAGGCACUAACACAUAUGCAGAGGGACACACACCUGUGCUUGCACACAGAGAAGUAGAUCUGAAUAUAUGAGUGCCCACCGGUGGCCAGCCAGGGAUGCUCUCUGCAGCCACACCUCAGUACAAUGAUCACAGCAUGGGACAUGGAUGCCACUGGGGUCCAUUCUGAAGGACAGCUCUGUUUCCUGCCUCUGGCCAGCAUCUGUGGUCAGGCAAAGCUACGAGGAAAUACAAUGAAGGUCAGUUUAACAAAGACCCCAGUGUGGGUGAAAUUUAACACCACAGGAGACAGACUGUGGGAGGAGGAAGAGGAGCCCAGAGCCCCAGGCUCUGUGGAAGAAAUGGGGAAGGGUCAGAGAGGGAACUGGAAAGAAGCCUGAUCCCACUGCAACCUCUACAGCCAGACUGCUGGAGACUUCCGAAAAUGAGGCACACCAGGCACAGACAGUGAGAUUACAGUGCCCUGACAUUUUACCCGCUUGGCUAGGCCGGGCCCAUUGUGCCGAUGUUCCUGCUUCUAGUCGCUUUCAGGCACAGCCCACAGCAGCACAUUGCUCUGUGCCUUGCAUCAUGGGCCUCUCACCGUCUGCCCCGGGGCUUCCCUGUUGUGGAAGAUCAAGGCGCCGUGGGACCCACUACCUAAGCAGAUGAUGAGCCAGGCACCUGGACCCGCAGCAGAACAAGACCAUCAUGCCACCUGACUGCUCAAGUCCUUCCAGAGAGCAGGGCUGAAAAUCACUUGAGCCAGGCUCGUAUUGCUCCUGCAUCCCACAGGCUGAGUUCCAAGGGAAGUGGUCCUCUCCUGUCCUGAGUGGUCAUCUCUUGUCCUGAGUGGUCAUCUCCUGUCCUGAGUGGUCAUCUCCUGUCCUGCUCACCUGCUCUGUGACUAACUAAGAUGAAGGAGACUUCAUUGGUCAGUUCCCUGCUGAGUCUCAAAGCCAAGACAAGCAAUUACGGUGCAUAUUUAACAUAUCAAAGUGGACCUGGCUGCCAUGUUGUCCCAGCAUCCCUCAGUCCCUAUCUGUUAACAGGGUGUAGCUGGCAUACACUGCCCUCUACCCUGAACUCUUCAGCCCAGGCUCUGGGCUGCCCUUCCCCCGAGAGGCUCUUCCCUACAUAAUCCAGCUAUUUUGGUACCUGCCCCUUUUGUAUCUGUGGCCUCUUAGAUGCUGUUCCUGUUCCUCUCUCACCUCCCCCACCCCAGCCUCUUCCUUUCUCCUUACAAGGUUCAGGGCCAUGAUCCCUCCCAGAUGUGUCUGCCUCUGGCAAUGCUCUCUCUUUAUCUACAAUAAACUUUCUCCUCUGCCAUAUCUGGGAACAGUCAGUCAUGUCCUUUCCCUUUUUCUUUCUCUCUCUCUUUCUCUUUUCUUUCCUUUUCCUUUUUUCUUUUUUCAUGUGUUACCUUCUUGGGUUUGAUGUCAGGUUUGAAUUGACCCAGAGGGGGGCUGUGAGUCUCAGCUUCUUUUGCAUCUCUUAGGUACAACGAACCUGAAAGAGCUCACUGUUGUAGAGGAAUGUGUCACCCAUUUCCUUGAUGUACUGAGGGGUAAACUGAAGUGCAAACCUCAGCUUGCUGUCAACUCUCAAACCCUGGCUCUUGGCUAAUAGUAUAGCAAGUUAUUGUGGGGUUUGUGAAACAUGAUGUGAGCACCGACUGGCUCACGCCAUCCGCCAAAUCAUCACUGGUCUUCCCAGGUUGGGAACCUCUAGAGGAGAGCUGUAUGGUCAUGGUUUAGAGGCAGCGCUGAGCUCUCUGUCCUGAGCUUCACAUGGUAUCCUGCCAGGAAGGAAGUGUUAAUGGCCCUGGGGUUCACUAAGACUGCAAAGCCAGGCCAUUUGCAUGUGAUGAGUGUGUACCUCCGCUGGGGCCUUAUCACCUGGUUCCAAGCUCAGUGCUCUUUACUCUGGACUAUGAUCCCCCUUUCCUGGAUGUCACAGCCCUUGUGGGAAGAAAAAGUGGGAAGCAGAAGGGUAAAGGCAGAAGCAGAAGGAACGAGAAGAGAGACUUGGGUUUCAGUGGACUGUCUUGAAUUAUCAGGAGAUUUCAAUAUCAGGAGACCUAGCCAGGUACAUCCAGGCCCAAUUAAGGGACUAUCCUACUCCUAAUAAACAUGGGCUCACAGGUUAUGAAGAAUCAAAGGGGGAAACAAGAAGGAUGGCUCAGCAGCUAAGCGCACUUGUUGCUCUUGCAGAGGGCCAGCACCCAUAUCAGAUGGCUCAUGGUAGCCUGUAACUAUAGCUCCUGGAGAUCUGACGCCAUCUUUUGACCUGUACAGGCACCCGUAUGCAUGUGCACAUACACUCACAGACACAUAAGCAUAAAUAAAAAU